AAAGCUUUAAGUUUAAAAUUAAACUAUUAACCUUCAAAGUUAAAAAUAUAGGAUAUAUAAGCUUUA
Molecule: transfer RNA, 66 nt
Filed under: Pentatoma metallifera
Lineage: Eukaryota; Metazoa; Arthropoda; Insecta; Hemiptera; Pentatomidae
Description: tRNA-Trp
Source: RNAcentral